AGAGAAAUUGUUGGGCCAUAUGUAGUUCUAUUUUCUGGAGAAGCCCCAUACUGUUUUUCAUAAUAGUUGCAUUAAUUUACAUUCCCACUAACAUU
Molecule: microRNA precursor, 95 nt
Filed under: Marmota monax (woodchuck)
Lineage: Eukaryota; Metazoa; Chordata; Mammalia; Rodentia; Sciuridae
Source: RNAcentral